This 253-nucleotide ribosomal RNA is filed under the name uncultured bacterium. RNAcentral describes it as "partial 16S ribosomal RNA". It matches the Rfam family "Bacterial small subunit ribosomal RNA", at positions 524 to 776 of the family's 1533-position model. The record is from RNAcentral.
UACGUAGGGACCAAGCGUUGUUCGGAUUUACUGGGCGUAAAGGGCGCGUAGGCGGCUUAACAAGUCACUUGUGAAAUCUCCGGGCUUAACUCGGAACGGCCAAGUGAAACUGUCAAGCUAGAGUGCAGAAGGGGCAAUCGGAAUUCUUGGUGUAGCGGUGAAAUGCGUAGAUAUCGAGAGGAACACCUGCGGCGAAGGCGGGUUGCUGGGCUGACACUGACGCUGAUGCGCGAAAGCCAGGGGAGCGAACGGG